Molecule: ribosomal RNA, 445 nt
Filed under: uncultured bacterium
Lineage: Bacteria
Description: partial 16S ribosomal RNA
Rfam family: Bacterial small subunit ribosomal RNA
Source: RNAcentral
GUGAGGAAUAUUGGACAAUGGGCGCAAGCCUGAUCCAGCCAUGCCGCGUGCAGGAAGACGCAUCUAUGGUGUGUAAACUGCUUUUGUACGGGAAGAAACACUCCCUCGUGAGGAAGCUUGACGGUACCGUAAGAAUAAGGAUCGGCUAACUCCGUGCCAGCAGCCGCGGUAAUACGGAGGAUCCAAGCGUUAUCCGGAAUCAUUGGGUUUAAAGGGUCCGUAGGCGGUUUAAUAAGUAAGUGGUGAAAGCCCAUCGCUCAACGAUGGAACGGCCAUUGAUACUGUUAGACUUGAAUUACAAGGAAGUAACUAGAAUAUGUAGUGUAGCGGUGAAAUGCUUAGAUAUUACAUGGAAUACCAAUUGCGAAGGCAGGUUACUACUUGUGGAUUGACGCUGAUGGACGAAAGCGUGGGGAGCGAACAGGAUUAGAAACCCGGGUAGUCC